CAUGGAGACCUCCAACACCGCUCUCCACUACGUGCCUCUUCUCCUGCUUAAGAACCUGGACGUCUUAGACGAGCUGGGCUUAUGGUGAAUGUGAUUGGGGACAGUCAAGGGUCUCUGAGGCCAUGCUGGAAGGUUGUUGGGUGAUGAACGAAGACAUCUGUCCUGAUCAGUCUGAAAAAUAAAAAAUCCACCUCUGUAAGGAUUUGUAACUUAUAAUGAAGUUUUGCUGCCAACAGAGCUCUUUGAAAUUGACAAGGACACUACUGUGUACACCAUCCUGAGCUCUGUCCUCCACGACCCAUACCACUUUGAGAAGCCAGAUGCUUUCCAUUCUGGCCACUUCCUGGAUUUGGAGGGCAACUUCAGGAAGCAAGAAGCCUUCAUCCUAUUCUCCAUGGCUCUGCUUCCUGCCCCACUGGGGAGGGGGAGAAGGGAUGAAGAUCCCCUCAGAGUCCUUGCAUCCAGCCCUCGUCUCUGCCCACAAAGAAUCUGUGGAGGUCUCCUGACUCCUCCCUGUUCAUUCUACCCUGUGGUUGUCCUGAAGAGGUUAAACCUUCACAAUGUUCCAUAACAUUCCGAAGUCAUGUGCCACUCCAAAAGCAUAAUGGCUGAGGUAUACAUAUCUGCGAACUGGUCUUCAGCCAACUGACAACCUCAAGUUAAAGUAAUUCAUUGUGGUUGUUGUGCUGAUUUUAUUUCUGGUAAAUAAGUACUCUCAAUUGUGCCCACUGAAGAAAUUUCUGCAUAUCCAGCUUGGUAAUGUCCUUCCUCAUCCUUUAAGUAAGACCUGUCUUUAAACCAACUUAAAUCAGCAUUCUCAGUAGGAAUUUCUUGUGAGUCAUUGCUAAGAGCAAGAAGGUAAUCUGUUAUUAAAAUACAGUCGUGGUCAA
RNAcentral lists this long non-coding RNA (890 nucleotides) under Equus asinus (donkey). RNAcentral describes it as "lncRNA (ENSEASG00005027523.1)". The record is from RNAcentral. Lineage: Eukaryota; Metazoa; Chordata; Mammalia; Perissodactyla; Equidae.